Molecule: long non-coding RNA, 1563 nt
Organism: Selaginella moellendorffii
Lineage: Eukaryota; Viridiplantae; Streptophyta; Lycopodiopsida; Selaginellales; Selaginellaceae
Exons: 5
Source: RefSeq, a predicted model, not a curated record
UCCAAAUUCUAUAUCACUAAGCCUGGAUCUAAAUAAUAAAUAAUAUCCUCGAAGAAUCUUAGGGCACUUGCAUCGGGCGCUGCUUUGGAUCCGGUUGGAUGCACCACACUCCAAUGCGAAGCAGCUUCUCGGCCUUAGAGACCGAAGCUUCUCAAACCGCCAGGAACUUUGGGCUCCUCCCGCAAGACACACAGUGAGGAGCUCCGGGUAAUUGAAGACGUGCACCACGUCCAUAGCACCGAACGGAAACGAUGGUUUGUAGUGUUUGAGAUACGAGUUUAUCUGUUUCUUCCAGAUCACCAUUGCGAUGAUGAUUAUAGCCAUGGUUGCCACAGAGAAAACCGCGACGAUGGCUGGCUUUGCCUGUUUUUGCUACUUGGCGACUUUGUGAGUUGAGCUUCGGAAGAUCUCCAGCUUGGUACAGCUUGAUCGAAAACAGCAAAGCUUGAUCGACGACGUUGCGAGUUUUGUUCAGAGAAAAAACUUCGAUCAUCUGGAAACAGGGCCAUGCACGCUGCUGGAGUGACGUUGUGGAGCGCACUGGAUAAAUCUAGAGGUUUGUAGAAGUAUCGUACUGUGGCUUCGAGCAUGUAGUGAUGUUGCGAGUUCUCGCAGGUUCUUCCAGGUGCUUGCAUCCCUCCUUGUUCCCGGAAGAAACGUACUUCGUGAACGAUGCAGAGGCAUCCUUCAGCUGUCUCGAACGAGAUCCCACAGGUUCGAGUAAGCGAGCUUUUCCCGAAGAAGAGGGGGUUUAAGUUGAUGCUCUUCGUGCUGUUGCCGGUGCUGAAUGAUCUCGAGUAACACCACCGAUCGUUGGAGUGGACCACAUAACACCUUUCGUCCCGUGGAUUUCCAAGCUGCUAUUGACGAGGAAGAGAAAUGAUAUCUCUUCUUCUUCCUCAUCGGAGCUCCAGACCUCUCCAAAAGAUCCUCAACAUACUGGAGUUCAAAGCGACCGAGAAGCGGCUACCUCGAGUGAGAAGUACCCUGGCUCUUUGUUCUCCUAGAGAUGCUGGCUACUAACUUCAUCCCAGGGAGCACAGCAUCACAGGGAUGAUCAAAGCUCUGCCACAGGAAAGCUCCAAUUUUGCUCCGGAUGACGAGAUUUCCAGAGCUCUCGAGGGCCAAGACUUGCGCUCCAGAUCCUCCCGUGUUGGUCAACCACACAAAGCUUCCAAUGUCACUGGAAGCACCAUCUUCCUCCAAGCUCCACUCUCGAAUCCACUCCAGAUAUUUCGAAUUAGCCUUGGCUUCAGCACCCCUUCCUGCCUCCUACUUGGGAGCAAACCUCCCAAGAGUUCCAGUUCUACUUGUCAGUCUUCUACGCCAUGGACGACAAGGAGAGUUUCAAUCUCUACUAUCUAGCAGCGGUGACAUGGCGAGCUACGCGAAAACCGUCCCGAAAGGAGCGUACCUCAGCUUUACCAGCGAUGGCGACCUGGUGCUGAGCGACGUGGAUAGGUACCCAGCUUGUGCUUGGCUUGGCUGUGGAUUCCUGUUGGCAUUGUCCAAGGAGAACCAGCGGACGAUCUUAUGAAUCGAGCUAAUGAUCAAGUUUAAAUA